This 76-nucleotide ribosomal RNA is filed under the name Ophiostoma ips. RNAcentral's name for it is "partial 18S ribosomal RNA". The record is from RNAcentral. Lineage: Eukaryota; Fungi; Ascomycota; Sordariomycetes; Ophiostomatales; Ophiostomataceae.
UCAUUAGCGAGUUUUCAACUCCCAACCCUUGCAAACCGUACCCCGUUCCGUUCUCGUUGCUUCUGGCGGGAGGCGG